GAUAAAUAAAAUAAGAAAAGAAAAAUAAUAUAGGGAUUUUAUAUGAAACAUAAUAAAAUUGUAGGGUAAGAAAUAAGUAUCUCAAGGACUGAAUUGAAUAUCAAUAGAAAUCUUGUGGUCAAAAAUACAAAAGAAGAAAUAAUUGAGGAGUUAAAAAAAAUAUAAAAUAAUAAAUAAAAUAAGACUAAGAAAUGUUGUCGGCAACCCUAGAGACAAAAGAAAAAAAAAAUAAAACAAAGAAAAAAAAGAAGAAGAAGUUCGUGAGAGAGUGAGGAACCAUGAGAGAGAAAGGGAGUUUGUGAAGAGAGAAUGUGAUUUUUGAAGGAGAUAAAGGAGAAAGAAGAUUGAAUCAAGAGUUUGGAACUUCCAUAGGCUUGAAUUCCAAGAUUUCUUCAAGAUUGAGAUUUGAGCUUGGUUCGAGAUUGGGAGUUGGCCAAGAAGUGAUUGAGUAAGGAUUUGACAAAUUGGUUAAGGUUGGUUGAAUUUGGAGACGUGAUAACAAGGAUUUGGGUGACUUGCUCAAACGAGGU
Long non-coding RNA from Tripterygium wilfordii, 530 nucleotides. RefSeq lists it as uncharacterized. The record is from RefSeq and is a predicted model, not a curated record. The transcript has 3 exons. Lineage: Eukaryota; Viridiplantae; Streptophyta; Magnoliopsida; Celastrales; Celastraceae.